AACGAACGCUGGCGGCAGGCCUAACACAUGCAAGUCGAACGCCCUAGCAAUAGGGAGUGGCGCACGGGUGAGUAACGCGUGGGAACGUGCCUUUCAGUCUGGAAUAACUGCGGGAAACUGCAGCUAAUACCGGAUAUUCUCUACGGAGGAAAGAUUUAUCGCUGAAAGAUCGGCCCGCGUUAGAUUAGGUAGUUGGUGGGGUAAUGGCCUACCAAGCCUACGAUCUAUAGCUGGUCUGAGAGGAUGAUCAGCCACACUGGAACUGAGACACGGUCCAGACUCCUACGGGAGGCAGCAGUGGGGAAUAUUGGACAAUGGGCGCAAGCCUGAUCCAGCCAUGCCGCGUGAGUGACGAAGGCCUUAGGGUCGUAAAGCUCUUUUGUCAGGGAAGAUAAUGACGGUACCUGAAGAAUAAGACACGGCUAACUCCGUGCCAGCCGCCGCAGUAA
RNAcentral lists this ribosomal RNA (449 nucleotides) under uncultured bacterium. RNAcentral's name for it is "partial 16S ribosomal RNA". It matches the Rfam family "Bacterial small subunit ribosomal RNA", at positions 29 to 523 of the family's 1533-position model. The record is from RNAcentral.